Molecule: transfer RNA, 75 nt
Filed under: Nanobdellota archaeon
Lineage: Archaea; Nanobdellati; Nanobdellota
Also listed under: 1 other name
Description: tRNA-Glu
Rfam family: tRNA
About the family: Transfer RNA (tRNA) molecules are approximately 80 nucleotides in length. Their secondary structure includes four short double-helical elements and three loops (D, anti-codon, and T loops). Further hydrogen bonds mediate the characteristic L-shaped molecular structure. tRNAs have two regions of fundamental functional importance: the anti-codon, which is responsible for specific mRNA codon recognition, and the 3' end, to which the tRNAs corresponding amino acid is attached (by aminoacyl-tRNA synthetases). tRNAs cope with the degeneracy of the genetic code in two manners: having more than one tRNA (with a specific anti-codon) for a particular amino acid; and 'wobble' base-pairing, i.e. permitting non-standard base-pairing at the 3rd anti-codon position.
Source: RNAcentral
GCCGCUAUCGUCUAACGGUUAGGACAUCAGGUUCUCAUCCUGGAAAUCGGGGUUCGACUCCCCGUAGCGGUACCA